UGGGGAAUAUUGGACAAUGGGCGCAAGCCUGAUCCAGCAAUACCGCGUGUGUGAAGAAGGCCUGAGGGUUGUAAAGCACUUUCGUCGAGGAGGAAGUGUGCGUUGUUAAUAGCGACGCAUGUUGACGUUACUCGAAGAAGAAGCACCGGCUAACUCUGUGCCAGCAGCCGCGGUAAUACAGAGGGUGCAAGCGUUAAUCGGAAUUACUGGGCGUAAAGCGUGCGUAGGUGGUUACUUAAGUCAAAUGUGAAAGCCCUGGGCUCAACCUAGGAAUUGCAUCUGAUACUGGGUAACUAGAGUAUGGUAGAGGAUGGCGGAAUUUCCGGUGUAGCGGUGAAAUGCGUAGAUAUCGGAAGGAACACCAGUGGCGAAGGCGGCCGUCUGGGCCAAUACUGACACUGAGGCACGAAAGCGUGGGUAGCAAACAG
RNAcentral lists this ribosomal RNA (428 nucleotides) under uncultured bacterium. RNAcentral's name for it is "bacterial SSU rRNA". It matches the Rfam family "Bacterial small subunit ribosomal RNA", at positions 355 to 775 of the family's 1533-position model. The record is from RNAcentral.